This is a ribosomal RNA of Melopsittacus undulatus (budgerigar), 120 nucleotides long. The record is from Ensembl. Lineage: Eukaryota; Metazoa; Chordata; Aves; Psittaciformes; Psittaculidae.
GCCUACGGCCACACCACCCUGAAAACGCCCGAUCUCGUCUGAUCUCGGAAGCUAAGCAGGGUCGGGCUUGGUUUAGUACUUGGAUGGGAGACCGCCUGGGAAUCUCGGGUGCUGUAGGCU